RNAcentral lists this ribosomal RNA (491 nucleotides) under uncultured bacterium. RNAcentral describes it as "bacterial SSU rRNA". It matches the Rfam family "Bacterial small subunit ribosomal RNA", at positions 903 to 1397 of the family's 1533-position model. The record is from RNAcentral.
AAAUGAAUUGACGGGGGCCCGCACAAGCAGUGGAUUAUGUGGUUUAAUUCGAAGCAACGCGAAGAACCUUACCAGGGCUUGACAUCCCGCGCAUAGCCAGGAGACUGGUGAAAUCCUUCGGGACGCGGAGACAGGUGGUGCAUGGUUGUCGUCAGCUCGUGUCGUGAGAUGUUGGGUUAAGUCCCGCAACGAGCGCAACCCCUGUUGUUAGUUGCCAUCAUUUAGUUGGGCACUCUAGCAAGACUGCCGGCGACAAGUCGGAGGAAGGUGGGGACGACGUCAAAUCAUCAUGCCCCUUAUGUCCUGGGCUACACACGUAAUACAAUGGCUAAAACAGAGGGAAGCAAAGGAGCAAUCUGGAGCGAAUCCCCAAAUAUAGUCUCAGUUCGGAUUGUGGGCUGAAACCCGCCCGCAUGAAGUCGGAAUUGCUAGUAAUGGCAGGUCAGCAUACUGCCGUGAAUACGUUCCCGGGCCUUGUACACACCGCCCGU